This is a small nucleolar RNA of Heterocephalus glaber (naked mole-rat), 83 nucleotides long. The record is from Ensembl. Lineage: Eukaryota; Metazoa; Chordata; Mammalia; Rodentia; Bathyergidae.
GGUCAAUGAUGUAUUGUCACGUAUUAUCUGAUUUACGGCUGAUGUGCAUUAAUACUUUAGCUCUAGAAUUACGCUGAGACCUU